RNAcentral lists this ribosomal RNA (623 nucleotides) under uncultured bacterium. Its description in RNAcentral is "bacterial SSU rRNA". The stretch from base 1 to 542 matches the Rfam family "Bacterial small subunit ribosomal RNA", at positions 338 to 873 of the family's 1533-position model. The record is from RNAcentral.
CCUACGGGAGGCAGCAGUGGGGAAUUUUGGACAAUGGGCGCAAGCCUGAUCCAGCCAUGCCGCGUGCGGGAAGAAGGCCUUCGGGUUGUAAACCGCUUUUGUCAGGGAAGAAAAGGUUCUGGAUAAUACCUGGGACUCAUGACGGUACCUGAAGAAUAAGCACCGGCUAACUACGUGCCAGCAGCCGCGGUAAUACGUAGGGUGCAAGCGUUAAUCGGAAUUACUGGGCGUAAAGCGUGCGCAGGCGGUUAUGCAAGACAGAGGUGAAAUCCCCGGGCUCAACCUGGGAACUGCCUUUGUGACUGCAUAGCUAGAGUACGGUAGAGGGGGAUGGAAUUCCGCGUGUAGCAGUGAAAUGCGUAGAUAUGCGGAGGAACACCGAUGGCGAAGGCAAUCCCCUGGACCUGUACUGACGCUCAUGCACGAAAGCGUGGGGAGCAAACAGGAUUAGAUACCCUGGUAGUCCACGCCCUAAACGAUGUCAACUGGUUGUUGGGAGGGUUUCUUCUCAGUAACGUAGCUAACGCGUGAAGUUGACCGCCUGGGGAGGUACGGCCGCGAGUAGAACGUACAANAGAGUAGACGGCGUGAGACGUGCCGACGGACGACGACGAGGGAGGAGG